CAGUCGCCACGGUAAUACGUAGGGUGCAAGCGUUAAUCGGAAUUACUGGGCGUAAAGCGUGCGCAGGCGGUUAUAUAAGACAGAUGUGAAAUCCCCGGGCUCAACCUGGGAACUGCAUUUGUGACUGUAUAGCUAGAGUACGGCAGAGGGGGAUGGAAUUCCGCGUGUAGCAGUGAAAUGCGUAGAUAUGCGGAGGAACACCGAUGGCGAAGGCAAUCCCCUGGGCCUGUACUGACGCUCAUGCACGAAAGCGUGGGGAGCAAACAGGAUUAGAUACCUUAGUAGUCCCUGUCUCUUAUAA
This 301-nucleotide ribosomal RNA is filed under the name uncultured bacterium. RNAcentral's name for it is "partial 16S ribosomal RNA". It matches the Rfam family "Bacterial small subunit ribosomal RNA", at positions 509 to 809 of the family's 1533-position model. The record is from RNAcentral.